GUGGAUUAGAUACCCUAGUAGUCCACGCGGUAAACGAUGCCAGCUCGGUGUCUGGGGCCGUUUUGGCCCUGGGUGCCUCAGCUCACGCGGUAAGCUGGCCGCCUGGGGACUACGAGCGCAAGCUUAAAACUCAAAGGAAUUGACGGGGGCCCGCACAAGCAGCGGAGCGUGUGGUUUAAUUCGACGCAACGCGAAGAACCUUACCCAGGCUUGACAUGUAUCUGCAAGCCGGUGAAAGCCGGUCGCCUUCGAGGGUGAUACACAGGUGCUGCACGGUUGUCGACAGCU
RNAcentral lists this ribosomal RNA (288 nucleotides) under uncultured bacterium. RNAcentral's name for it is "partial 16S ribosomal RNA". It matches the Rfam family "Bacterial small subunit ribosomal RNA", at positions 773 to 1060 of the family's 1533-position model. The record is from RNAcentral.